RNAcentral lists this transfer RNA (71 nucleotides) under Urocitellus parryii (Arctic ground squirrel). RNAcentral's name for it is "Spermophilus parryii (Arctic ground squirrel) tRNA". It matches the Rfam family "tRNA". Rfam says of the family: Transfer RNA (tRNA) molecules are approximately 80 nucleotides in length. Their secondary structure includes four short double-helical elements and three loops (D, anti-codon, and T loops). Lineage: Eukaryota; Metazoa; Chordata; Mammalia; Rodentia; Sciuridae. The record is from Rfam by way of RNAcentral. RNAcentral also lists the same sequence under 2 other names.
GGGGAUGUAGCUCAGUAGUGGAGCACUUGCUAGCAUGCAUGAAGCCCUGGGUUCCAUUCCCAGCACCACAA